RNAcentral lists this ribosomal RNA (373 nucleotides) under uncultured organism. RNAcentral describes it as "partial 16S ribosomal RNA". It matches the Rfam family "Bacterial small subunit ribosomal RNA", at positions 527 to 896 of the family's 1533-position model. The record is from RNAcentral.
GUAGGUGGCAAGCGUUGUCCGGAAUUAUUGGGCGUAAAGCGCGCGCAGGUGGUUCUUUAAGUCUGAUGUGAAAGACCCCCGGGCUCAACCGGGAGGGUCAUUGGAAACUGGGGAACUUGAGUGCAGGAGAGGAAAGUGGAAUUCCACGUGUAGCGGUGAAAUGCGUAGAUAUGUGGAGGAACACCAGUGGCGAAGGCGACUUUCUGGCCUGUAACUGACACUGAGGCGCGAAAGCGUGGGGAGCAAACAGGAUUAGAUACCCUGGUAGUCCACGCCGUAAACGAUGAGUGCUAAGUGUUGGGGGGUUUCCGCCCCUCAGUGCUGCAGCUAACGCAUUAAGCACUCCGCCUGGGGAGUACGGUCGCAAAGACUG